GAUGAACGCUGGCGGCGUGCCUAAUACAUGCAAGUCGAGCGAACAGAUGAGGGGCUUGCUCCUCUGACGUUAGCGGCGGACGGGUGAGUAACACGUAGAUAACCUACCUAUAAGACUGGGAUAACUUCGGGAAACCGGAGCUAAUACCGGAUAAUAUAUUGAACCGCAUGGUUCAAUAGUGAAAGACGGUUUUGCUGUCACUUAUAGAUGGAUCCGCGCCGCAUUAGCUAGUUGGUAAGGUAACGGCUUACCAAGGCAACGAUGCGUAGCCGACCUGAGAGGGUGAUCGGCCACACUGGAACUGAGACACGGUCCAGACUCCUACGGGAGGCAGCAGUAGGGAAUCUUCCGCAAAGGGCGAAAGCCUGACGGAGCAACGCCGCGUGAGUGAUGAAGGUCUUCGGAUCGUAAAACUCUGUUAUUAGGGAAGAACAAAUGUGUAAGUAACUAUGCACGUCUUGACGGUACCUAAUCAGAAAGCCACGGCUAACUACGUG
RNAcentral lists this ribosomal RNA (497 nucleotides) under uncultured bacterium. RNAcentral's name for it is "partial 16S ribosomal RNA". It matches the Rfam family "Bacterial small subunit ribosomal RNA", at positions 28 to 507 of the family's 1533-position model. The record is from RNAcentral.